GCGACCCCAGGUCAGGCGGGGCUACCCGCUGAAUU
Molecule: ribosomal RNA, 35 nt
Filed under: Zelkova serrata
Lineage: Eukaryota; Viridiplantae; Streptophyta; Magnoliopsida; Rosales; Ulmaceae
Also listed under: 8 other names
Description: partial 25S ribosomal RNA
Source: RNAcentral